GAGGCAGUGCCUUCUAACGCUAAAUACUUCUCGAAUCCGAUAGAGCACUAAGUACCGUGAGGGAAAGUUGAAAAGUACUGUUUGAAGCAGGUUGCAAAGAACUUGAAACUGUACGGUUAUAGGUUAGGCAGAGCAUGAAAGCUUCGAAGCAUGUAACGACAAAGGAGAGAUCCUUCAGUAGGAAAGUGUGGAGCGAUGUUCUGUCAUCCGUAUUGAAAAACGGGGCAGGGAGUGUGUUAGCCGUGGCGAGGUAAACUGGUUUAUGCCAGUAAGCCGCAGCGAAAGCAAGAAGCCCGCAGCAUCCUUUAUUGGAUUGCGAGGGGCCGCGUUGUAACAGGCGUGGAGUCACCGCAACACGAUCCGAAACCGGUCGAUCUUGGCUUGGAUAGGAUGAAGCGAGGCGAAAGCCUCGUGGAGGUCCGAACCGUUGCUACGAUACAAGUGCUCGGAUAAUCUGAGUCAAGGGGUGAAAUGCCAAUCGAGAUCGGUGAUGGCUGGUUCCUUUCGAAAUGGAUCGAAGUCCAGCUUCAAGCGAGCCGCUUGUGCAGGUAAAGCCACUGAUUUCGUUGCUCUACAGCUUUGCUGUAGAGGCGAUGUCAAACUCUGAACUGUACAAGGGCGUAGACCUUGGAAGUCAGGGACGGUGCGUAAGGUACCGUUCCGAGAGGGAAACAACCCAGAGCAAGGUUAAGGUCCCUAAUUCUUGGCUAAGUGCAAAUUCAAAGGAUGUCCUGGUUCUCAGACAGCGGGGAGGUUAGCUUAGAAGCAGCUACCCUUUAAAGAUAGCGUAACAGCUCACCCGUUGAGAGCCGGGGCGCCGAAAAUGUUCGGGGCUAAGCCAAGAACCGACACCUUGCCGCAGACCUCUCAUAGAAGUCUGUGGGUAGAGAAGUGUUCUGCGCAGGGCGGAAGCAUGGAGGUGACUUCGUGUGGACCGCGUAGAAACAAAAAUCCUGCCGGCAGUACCAACGUCAUUGAGAGUGCGAAUCUCUCACGCCUAAAGGGGAAGGGUUCCUCGGCAAUGAUCGUCAACCGAGGGUUAGCCGGUCCUAACUCUUUUCGUAACUCGACGAAGAGGAACAGGCAAACAGGUUAAUAUUCCUGUGCCUACUUGCACAACGUGACUUUUCGGGAUAACGGAAGCUGUGCCUUCGCGCAGUCCAAACAGUUGAUGUGUGCGAGCGUAACGCUUCGACCACACGAACCUGUGACGGGCCUGAGAAUAAUCUCGGGUUUUCGUAAUUCCUGGAAACCUUGAAAAGCUGCAAGAGACCGUACCGAGAACCAGCACAGGUCCCCAGGCUGAGAAGGCUAAGGCGUAUCGGGUAUCAACGCGGCUCAGGGAAUUCGGCAAGUUAGCCCCGUACGUUCGCAAUAAGGGGUGCCUAUCGUCUUGCUACGAUAGGUUUCAAUGACCAGAAGGGCUCGACUGUUUACUAAAAACACAUCUGACUGCCAGUCCGAAAGGAUUUGUACAGUCAGAGACCCUUGCCCAGUGCCAGCACCUGAACACUCCGUUCAAGGAGACGAAGGGCUGGUAAACGGCGGCAGUAACUAUGACUGUCUUAAGGUAGCGUAGUCCCUUGCCAAUUAAUUAUUGGCCCGAAUUAACAGGGCAACGAGGUCCUUACUGUCCCGAGCCGUGGCCCGGUGAACCCACCGUACCGGCGCACAGGCCGGUGACUUCCAGUGGGAAGCGAAGACCCUGUGGAGCUUUGCUGCAGUCUGUCGUUGCUGCGGGGGGCCAGACGUGAAGUGUAGGUAGGAGGCGUUACAGAGGUGCGUGCGCUAGCGCGUCACCCAGCCGACAAUGGGACACUACCCGUCUGGAACCCUGCGGCUC
RNAcentral lists this ribosomal RNA (1843 nucleotides) under hypersaline lake metagenome. Its description in RNAcentral is "bacterial LSU rRNA". It matches the Rfam family "Archaeal large subunit ribosomal RNA", at positions 440 to 2301 of the family's 2987-position model. The record is from RNAcentral.